UACGGGGGGGGUAAGCGUUGUUCGGAAUUACUGGGCGUAAAGCGUGCGCAGGCGGUGAUGUAAGACAGAUGUGAAAUCCCCGGGCUCAACCCGGGAACUGCGUCCGAUACUGGAAGGCUUGAAUCCGGGAGAGGGAUGUGGAAUUCCAGGUGUAGCGGUGAAAUGCGUAGAUAUCUGGAGGAACACCGGUGGCGAAGGCGACAUCCUGGACCGGUAUUGACGCUGAGGCGCGAAAGCCAGGGGAGCAAACGGG
RNAcentral lists this ribosomal RNA (253 nucleotides) under uncultured bacterium. Its description in RNAcentral is "partial 16S ribosomal RNA". It matches the Rfam family "Bacterial small subunit ribosomal RNA", at positions 524 to 776 of the family's 1533-position model. The record is from RNAcentral.